Molecule: ribosomal RNA, 379 nt
Filed under: uncultured Prochlorococcus sp.
Lineage: Bacteria; Bacillati; Cyanobacteriota; Cyanophyceae; Synechococcales; Prochlorococcaceae
Description: bacterial SSU rRNA
Rfam family: Bacterial small subunit ribosomal RNA
Source: RNAcentral
CGAAAGCCUGACGGAGCAACGCCGCGUGAGGGAUGAAGGCCUCUGGGCUGUAAACCUCUUUUCUCAAGGAAGAAGAUCUGACGGUACUUGAGGAAUAAGCCACGGCUAAUUCCGUGCCAGCAGCCGCGGUAAUACGGGAGUGGCAAGCGUUAUUCGGAAUUAUUGGGCGUAAAGCGUCCGCAGGCGGCCCUUCAAGUCUGCUGUUAAAAAGUGGAGCUUAACUCCAUCAUGGCAGUGGAAACUGUUGGGCUUGAGUGUGGUAGGGGCAGAGGGAAUUCCCGGUGUAGCGGUGAAAUGCGUAGAUAUCGGGAAGAACACCAGUGGCGAAGGCGCUCUGCUGGGCCAUAACUGACGCUCAUGGACGAAAGCCAGGGGAGCG